AGCUCCAAUAGCGUAUAUUAAAGUUGUUGCGGUUAAAAAGCUCGUAGUUGGAUUUCAGCCAAGGACGACCGGUCCUGCUUCGGUGGGUACCUGGUUUGGCCGCGGCUUCUCUUGGUGUGACUGUACGCGGCUAAAACCGCUGCACGAGCUCCAGGGCUUUUACUUUGAGGAAUUAGAGUGUUUCAAGCAGGCGUCUGCCU
RNAcentral lists this ribosomal RNA (200 nucleotides) under uncultured eukaryote. RNAcentral's name for it is "partial 18S ribosomal RNA". It matches the Rfam family "Eukaryotic small subunit ribosomal RNA", at positions 587 to 796 of the family's 1831-position model. The record is from RNAcentral.